ACUCCUACGGGAGGCAGCAGUGGGGAAUAUUGCACAAUGGGGGAAACCCUGAUGCAGCCAUGCCGCGUGUGUGAAGAAGGCCUUCGGGUUGUAAAGCACUUUCAGUAGGGAGGAAGGUAGUGUAGUUAACACCUGCAUUAUUUGUACGUUACCUACAGAAGAAGCACCGGCUAACUCCGUGCCAGCAGCCGCGGUAAGUACGGAGGGUGCGAGCGUUAAUCGGAAUUACUGGGCGUAAAGCGCAUGCAGGCGGCCUGUUAAGUCAGAUGUGAAAGCCCGGGGUCUUAACCUCGGAAUUGCAUUUGAAACUGGCGAGGCUAGAGUCUUGUAGAGGGGUUAGAAUUUCAGGUGUAGCGGUGAAAUGCGUAGAGAUCUGAAGG
This 380-nucleotide ribosomal RNA is filed under the name uncultured bacterium. RNAcentral's name for it is "bacterial SSU rRNA". It matches the Rfam family "Bacterial small subunit ribosomal RNA", at positions 335 to 704 of the family's 1533-position model. The record is from RNAcentral.